GGAGGUAGUGACAAUAAAUCUCAAUACGAAGCCUUUGGUUUUGUAAUUGAAUUGAGAACAAUGUACAAUCGUUAUCGAUAAACAAUUGGAGGGCAAGUCUGGUGCCAGCAGCCGCGGUAAUUCCAGCUCCAAUAGCGUAUAUUAACGUUGUUGCAGUUAAAAAGCUCGUAGUUGAAGUUUAGAUAAUUUAUUGAAAGUGUUUGUAUUCGUACAUUCUACUUUUAUGUAAGUUAUCGACAUCCAGGUGGGUGCCAUGGUUCCGCAAGGAAUCGUGGUACUAGACUGGUCAUUUACUGUGAGAAAAUUAGAGUGUUUAAAGCGGACUGUUCAGUUUGAAUAGAUUAGCAUGGAAUAAUAAGAUUGGCUUUCAUAGUCGAUUUUUUGGUUUGUUUAUGAAAGCAAGAUUAAUAGGGACAGUUGGGGGUAUUCAUAUUCAAUAGCUAGAGGUGAAAUUCUAUGAUUUAUGGAAGAUGAACAAGUGCGAAAGCA
Molecule: ribosomal RNA, 489 nt
Filed under: Blastocystis sp.
Lineage: Eukaryota; Bigyra; Opalinata; Blastocystidae
Description: SSU rRNA
Rfam family: Eukaryotic small subunit ribosomal RNA
Source: RNAcentral